This 2980-nucleotide long non-coding RNA is filed under the name Vitis vinifera (wine grape). RNAcentral describes it as "long non-coding RNA (VVIN_LNC006075)". Lineage: Eukaryota; Viridiplantae; Streptophyta; Magnoliopsida; Vitales; Vitaceae. The record is from RNAcentral.
UACAUUUUUUAUAUUUAAAAUUCUUUUAGGUUGUCCUUCAAUAUAUGACUUUGCCAUCACCCAUUAUGGUAGAGAAAACUGAUGUGGAAUAGUACAAACAAUUCUUUUGAGGUAGAGAGAAAUAUGGGUACCUAAAAGGAGAAAAGAAAAGAAGAUAGAUGGGAAAAAAAGAAGAAGAGAAAUUAGAUGCAAAAUAUAAGAGAGCAGGAAGAGAAAGAAAAAUAGCAAAAUUUUUGAAUCACAAUUGUAACAUGAAGAGUUUGGUGGACUUAAAUCAUCACAUUGGAAUUUAUGUGGACAUAAUAAGUGAUAUAUGUCGACUCUUGGAAAACCACAUAGUUGAGUCUUACAACAUAAAAUAAAAUAAAAUCAAAAAGAUGAUUAGAAAAUUAUGUUCUCUUGAUUGCAAAUUCAAGAGAGAUUUUUUGAAAUCAAGAAAACUAAUUCCUUGAAUUAGGUAGAUCAAAUGUUAAGAUGACCUAACUCCAUCUGUAAAUACAUAUGUUUUUCUUUAGUACAUGGCCUUUGAAAAAAAAGAAAAGAAAAAGAGACUCUAGAAAUUUCAAUCCAUAAAAAGUUUCACAAGUUACGACCAAAAUUUAAAUGUUCUUCAAUAAGCCGAGAAGAAUAUCAAGCACUAUACUCAAGACAUUAACAUUUUUUUUAAUUUUCUUAGGUGUUCUAGAGUACAGAAGGGAAUUAUUGUGCUCACAACAAAUCUCCCUUUGGAUAUACAAAAAAGUACAUAAGGGAAUUAUUGCAAGUUUACUUGACAACAAGUCCUUGUUGACUUUCAAAUGAACUACUAUUUAGGAACAUGCGUGAGCCAUCUUUGGAUCAAAAUCAAGUAAGCAGUUGGAUCAAAGGAGAUCUAUAUUCUUUUGCAUACACCACAAAGAAUUGUACUAGUACUCUUUUUAUUAAAAUUAAUACAUUCAAUUUUGUUCCCUAUUUUUCUUGUCCACUUGAUAGGUUACAUGGCUUGUGCAUACAAAUUUCAAAAAUUGUAUUUAAGACAACUUAUACAGAUAUAUAUUCCUCAUUUGAUUUUAGAGGUAGAUUCUUGUGCCAAUAGAAAAUUUUCUUAUUGUUUUCUUUUCCUUUCUUUCAAGGGAUAUUUUCCUUCUUUUCUUUUUUGGCAUCAAAGAACGUUUUCAUAUCGAUAGAAAAUUUUCUUAUUUCUAGUAUUUUUUUUCUUGUAAUUUGAGUUUCCUCUUUUUGUAAAUUAUUAUUAUUUUUAUAUAUAGGGAGGAUGAGAGCUUAGGAUGACUUAUGAUACACCACAAAUCCUUUAUGAGAAGCCUUGGAUCCUCGAUUGUAUUGUUUUGGUGUUAGUUGAUCAUAUGCUCUAAAUCACAUACCAUUGACUAGUGAGUUUUACUUAAGGGCUCACAAUUUUUUUCUAUGGAAGUGAUCAAACUGUUGGUAUCCUUGAAUGAGUCUUAUUGCAAGAUCACGAGCUCACAGAGCAAAAUUGACUUGUCAAAGACAUGAUUAAACAAUAUUGAAAUAAUACAAUGUGAUUCAGGAUCCAAGGUUUCUCAUAAAGGAAUUGUAAUGCGUCAUAAACUUUCAUUUUAAGUUCUCAUUUUUCUCACUCUAUAUAUUAAUUAAUGGCAUAUAGAUAGAGGAACUCCAAAUAAAGGAAGGAAAAUAGGAAAAUUUCUUAUUGACACGAGAACUUCCUUUGGCACCAAAUAAAAAUAGAAGGAAAAUCUCUUGGAAGAAAAGAAGAGAAAAUUGGAAAUGAGAAAUUUUUUAUUGACAUAAGAUUUUUUUUUUGAAAUCAAAUGAGAAAAAGGAAAAAGAUGAAAAGUUGUCUUGAGUAUAAUUAUGGAGAUUUGCACAAAUCAAUUUUGGGUCCUGUAGAUCAAGUCUAUAGGAAAAAUAACAAACAAAAUCGAUUGUAUUAAUUUCAAUCAAAAUAAUGUAGGUCAAAUUUUAUGUAGUGGAUAUACUUUAAUUUGAUCAUGUAUUUGAUUGUAGAUAUGUGUUGUUGAAUUAGAGUUCACUCUACAAACACCAAAUACAUUUGUUCUCAAGUAAACAUGUAUAGUAUUUCCUUUUGCUCCCUAGAAUGCCUAAAGAGAUUAAAAAAUGUUUGUAGUGUUCUUCGGCUUUUGAGGUGGAUGAAGAGUAUCGAUGUUGUUCUUGAUAUUCUUCCAUAGAUUUAUUGAAGAGUGUUUGAAGUAUGGUCCUGAAUUGUAAAUUUCUUUUCUAGAUUAGGACAUUUAGACUCUCUUCUUCUUAUUUUUCGAAAGCCUGUGUACUAAAAGAGAACACUUGUAUUUCUAGGUGGAAUUAGGGUAUUAAUUUGGUAUCCUAAAAUUUUAUCUCUCCGAUUCUAGGAAUUUGACUCAUUGAUUUUAGAAAUAUGUAUUUCCUUUGUGAAAUUUGCCAUAUAUAUAUAUAUAGAUUUGAUUAUUUUUUGACUUAGACUUUAUUUUAUUUUUUUAAACUUAUUUUUUUGGUCUUCUCUUGAUGAGUGUCACCUUUUAUGAUUCACACAAAUUUUGAUGUGGUGAUUUGGGCUCACCAAAAUUUUGAUAUUUACAACAAUAACAAUAGUUCUUUCCUUAAUGUCUUUAGCCUUACUUAUAUGAGCAAUUCAAGAAGCCUAUAUAAAAUAAAAUAUUAAAAUGAUAAUAAUAAAAUUAUAAAACUCCUAAUAAUGAUAAAAUUCUUAAUUUAAAUAAAAAUAGGAAUCCUAAUUUGAUGUAAAUCACAGUCCCUUUUAUCCUUCUUGUCUAAUGCUUAAAAUAACCUUGAAAUUAGUAGUCUUCAUCUUUGUAAAAAACACUUAUCAAUUGCAAUAUGAUGUUAAGUCUAUUUAUUGAAUCUUGCUAAACCCGUGCUAAAGUUUAAUGCUUGUUUGGAUACACUUUAUGUUUUCUGUUUUUAAAAAAGGGAAAAUAGUGGUAACUUCUAUAAAAAAAAAUAUAGUAACUCUUUAUAUAAAAAGUAUAAACUUAUUUUAUGU